Molecule: non-coding RNA, 24 nt
Filed under: Arabidopsis thaliana (thale cress)
Lineage: Eukaryota; Viridiplantae; Streptophyta; Magnoliopsida; Brassicales; Brassicaceae
Source: RNAcentral
CAAACAUUUUAUUAUGUACCGCAA